RNAcentral lists this long non-coding RNA (1354 nucleotides) under Phascolarctos cinereus (koala). RNAcentral's name for it is "lncRNA (ENSPCIG00000013754.2)". The record is from RNAcentral. Lineage: Eukaryota; Metazoa; Chordata; Mammalia; Diprotodontia; Phascolarctidae.
CCUGCCUGCCAAGUGGUAUGUAAGUUUAGUAUGGCUCAGCGUGCAUCAGAGUGAGCAGGCUGCUGGGGCGCGGAGCCUGUGAGCAGACUCUGGUCUCCCGGCUGCUGAGGCUCCGGACUUGCAACUCAGGACUGAGUCUGUACGCUGAACAGCUGCUGUCCGGAGCUUCUUCUGGGACCAAGGCGAGAAAGCCCCGCGGCUGUAGUCAGCUUGCCUUCCCUCUUGGGCAUUCUUGACCGUGGAAAACAAUGGGAAUGGGAAUGCUGAAGGGAUUCGGUUCCCAGCGCUCCGGUCUCGGCUACUGAGAUUUUCCGUGCUGGUGAAGCCUGAAGCUCGGGCUUGCUCGGGGUGGGAGGUGAUCCUUCCUUUACCCUGAGGCGGUCUCCAGGCGGGUGAUCAGUGGCGCCCGGGGGGCAUCGUCCGCGCCCCACCGUCGUUCCCCGGAGCAGUGUCCUCUGAGCCCUGCCCAACGCACGGAAACUCGCGCUGCCCAUGGGACCUUCAGCCUCUCAGGCUCGCGAAAGAAUGGAUGGCGUGGCUUCAUCAUUCCCUGGAGGUGGGGGCGUGGAGAGGGUCCAGGACAGGGGUCCUCUCCCUCCCGAGCUCCCACCUAUCUGGGGUGUGUGCGUGGGGGACUCAUGCAGUUUGGACCCGAGAUGGAAUUGGGGCUUUCCCCUCCUCCCCACUGCACCCCACUCCGUUCUCUUGGGCGGCUCUCUGCUGUGGAUUAUUGGUACGAUUCGACCGGAGUAGGAAUACCCGCCACCCUGGCUUCAGUGGAUUUACUCUCUUUGCUGACCCUUGACCCGCUCCUGCCUGUCAAACCCCUAACCUGCGGCAGAUGUGCCCAGGAAUGGAAAUAAAGGACUUGGGCUGAGCAUCUUAGUGUGAAGAGGAGCAAGAAUGAGCAAUCUUGGCUGUGUGUGUGAUGAAAAUGGUUCUCUGCGUUGUAUACACAGCUGCAUUCAGAAGAUUGUGGCAGACGUGCCUGACAGAAUGCUUUACUCCAAAAGAUGAAGGGUAUGACCCUUCUACAACAGUGAUUCUUACACAAGAGAAUAAGGCCCUGAGAGGAAGAACUGGCAGAUGGAAAUACUGGGACAGAAUGUCCAAGUUGGCUCUGCCUUCCCUUGAGUCUACCACCUCCAGCACUCUUUGCACUAGGAUUUUUAUCAGUGUAGAAGAAGAGCCAUUGAGCCCAACAGAUGGACUCCACCAGGGCCUGAUCACCUUUUAAAAAUUAACAUUCUUGGAUUUGGAUUGAGAAGUAUUUGCAACAUGACCUUUCGGGGAAGAAAAAUAUCACAUGCCAAGGGUCAAUAAAUCAAUAUUUAUUAAGUACCUACUGUGUGCU